UACGUAGGGUGCGAGCGUUAAUCGGAAUUACUGGGCGUAAAGCGUGCGCAGGCGGUUCGUGAAGUCCGAUGUGAAAGCCCUGGGCUUAACCUAGGAAUGGCAUUGGAAACUGGCGGGCUAGAGUGUGGCAGAGGGGGGUGGAAUUCCUGGUGUAGCAGUGAAAUGCGUAGAGAUCAGGAGGAACACCGAUGGCGAAGGCAGCCCCCUGGGCUGACACUGACGCUCAGGCACGAAAGCGUGGGGAGCAAAC
Molecule: ribosomal RNA, 250 nt
Filed under: uncultured bacterium
Lineage: Bacteria
Description: partial 16S ribosomal RNA
Rfam family: Bacterial small subunit ribosomal RNA
Source: RNAcentral